GACGCCCUGGUUGCCCGAUACCCCACCAACUAGCUGAUAGGCCGUGAGCCCAUCCCGUAGCGCAAAAGCCUUUCCUCUAGGAAGCCAUGCGGUUCUAAGAGAAUAUCCGGUAUUAAUCCAAGUUUCCCUGGGCUAUCCCGGUCUGCGGGGCAGGUUGCUCACGUGUUACUCACCCGUUCGCCGCUCCGUAAUAGGAUUGGUUACCCGCACCUAUUCGUCGCUCGACUUGCAUGCAUUAGGCACGCCGCCAGCGUUCGUCCUGAGCCAGGAUCAAACUCUAAUCUAGAUGCAUCGCGAGUCCC
Molecule: ribosomal RNA, 302 nt
Filed under: uncultured bacterium
Lineage: Bacteria
Description: partial 16S ribosomal RNA
Source: RNAcentral